This 460-nucleotide ribosomal RNA is filed under the name uncultured bacterium. RNAcentral's name for it is "partial 16S ribosomal RNA". It matches the Rfam family "Bacterial small subunit ribosomal RNA", at positions 338 to 795 of the family's 1533-position model. The record is from RNAcentral.
CCUACGUGAGGCAGCAGUGAGGAAUAUUGGUCAAUGGACGAAAGUCUGAACCAGCCAAGUCGCGUGAAGGAUGACUGCCCUCUGGGUUGUAAACUUCUUUUAUAUGGGAAUAAAGUAUUCCACGUGUCGGGUUUUGUAUGUACCAUAUGAAUAAGGAUCGGCUAACUCCGUGCCAGCAGCCGCGGUAAUACGGAGGAUACGAGCGUUAUACGGAUUUAUUGGGUAUAAAGGGAGCGUAGGUGGAUUGUUAAGUCAGUUGUGAAAGUUUGCGGUUCAACCGUAAAAUUGCAGUUGAUACUGGCAGUCUUGAGUACAGGAGAGGUGGGCGGAAUUCGUGGUGUAGCGGUGAAAUGCUUAGAUAUCACGAAGAACUCCGAUUGCGAAGGCAGCUCACUGGACUGCAACUGACACUGAGGCUCGAAAGUGUGGGUAUCAAACAGGAUUAGAUACCCUAGUAGUC